AGGAGUGAACUAAGGAUAAAAACCUGCAGAUCUUGUUCUAAAAAGUUCCCAGAGUCUUAAUUCCAUCUAUCGGAUAUUACAGGUUAAGAUGACUGACUCAUCGACCCAUAAUAUUCUCAAGAGAAACUCGUCUGAGUGUAGUAUCGUGUAACAACUGUUAAACUGUUAUCAAGUCUACACUUGAACAGUUUCCGCACUACGUCCUAAAUAGGCCAAGAUGGGUUAAAUGUUCUAAGGUCCU
Molecule: long non-coding RNA, 241 nt
Filed under: Lathyrus oleraceus (garden pea)
Lineage: Eukaryota; Viridiplantae; Streptophyta; Magnoliopsida; Fabales; Fabaceae
Description: Pisum sativum (pea) long non-coding RNA (PSAT_LNC032651)
Source: RNAcentral